CUUAACCGCCGCACUAGCAAGUCAAAACAGUAACCUUAGCACUUCACGACGUUGUACUUGGAAGUUAAUGCAACAAUUUUAACUUAGAGCUAUAUGUACACCUUGUGAUACUCCAGAAUAUAUAUAAAAGCUACAGUCCAAAUUUCGAUGCAAAUACUUCAGUCGUCUUCGAGAUUUUUCUCGAACAUGGAAAAAUACAUUUUAUCUUUAAGUAAAAUGAAGGAUAAUUUCCUGGAAAUAACGAGUGCGACGCGAGAGGUGAGGACAGAAAGGAAAUACACCACCAUCGGUUGCGCCACGGUAUGGGCAGACUGGAUCUGCAAUUAAGCCUAUAAGUUAUUUACGGUAUUUGAAAUUACAUCUCGCGAUGUUUGUCUGAGUAAUUUAGUCCGGGACGGAAGCACUGCGCGUCCAGUUUUUAUCGCCGAAUUUUCUACAGAAUUUGUACGCCAAGAAUCUCCAUUUUCAAGCUUCAGCUAUUUAUUUAUUAUAUUUAUUCUUGUCAUUUUAUUAGUACGUAAACGUAUUCAAAGAACGUGUUGAAAAUAUUUCACGCGGUUUGUAUAUUUAGAAACUCGGCUUAUCGACUGCAGGCAUUUGGAGAGUAUUAAAAUUCAAAUGGAUCCUCGAGGCACGAAUUUCUUUCGAACAGGAUGAAGAAGGAAAAUACAUGUAUAACAUGAAGAGUAAUGAAUAACAUUGCCUCUGAGUCAGAAUUUUAAACAAUCACUCCAUUCUUUAUAAUCGACACCGUACGAAACAAUCGCCAUCGAAUAUAAAACCGUUCACAGAUUCGGAUUACCGGAAACUGGUCAGCUUCAGAUGUUCAUUAAUUCGCCGAUUUCUUCUUUUUCGUUUUUUUCUUAAUUUGCUAACCUAGGUCGAUGAAAUGGUUCAUUGUUUGCAAAGAAAAAGGAAAAAAAAAAUUUGUAAAGCAUGAUCAAACCCUACUUUGAUUUAUGAGUAAUUCAUGGUACUAUAAAAAGAGAAUGACAGAACUCACUGCUUCAAACUUCAUAAGUACGUGAUUCUAAAGAAUUGUUAGCUAAUACCGUAAAAUGUUUAAGAGGCUAUACCAAUGCGAAACUUAAAAAA
This is a long non-coding RNA of Ceratina calcarata, 1095 nucleotides long. RefSeq lists it as uncharacterized. NCBI's taxonomy places the organism in Eukaryota, Metazoa, Arthropoda, Insecta, Hymenoptera, Apidae. The record is from RefSeq and is a predicted model, not a curated record. The transcript is spliced from 3 exons.